GAUGAACGCUGGCGGCGUGCCUAAUACAUGCAAGUCGAGCGAACAGACGAGGAGUUUGCUCCUCUGACGUUAGCGGCGGACGGGUGAGUAACACGUGGAUAACCUACCUAUAAGACUGGGAUAACUUCGGGAAACCGGAGAUAAUACCGGAUAAUAUAUUGAACCGCAUGGUUCAAUAGUGAAAGACGGUUUUGCUGUCACUUAUAGAUGGAUCCGCGCCGCAUUAGCUAGUUGGUAAGGUAACGGCUUACCAAGGCAACGAUGCGUAGCCGACCUGAGAGGGUGAUCGGCCACACUGGAACUGAGACACGGUCCAGACUCCUACGGGAGGCAGCAGUAGGGAAUCUUCCGCAAUGGGCGAAAGCCUGACGGAGCAGCGCCGCGUGAGUGAUGAAGAUCUUCGGAUCGUAAAACUCUGUUAUUAGGGAAGAACAAAUGUGUAAGUAACUAUGCACGUCUUGACGGUACCUGAUCAGAAAGCCACGGCUAACUACGUG
Molecule: ribosomal RNA, 497 nt
Filed under: uncultured bacterium
Lineage: Bacteria
Description: partial 16S ribosomal RNA
Rfam family: Bacterial small subunit ribosomal RNA
Source: RNAcentral